AGUGCACGUGCGUUGCACGUAUAGAUUUUUCUAAUAUAAUUAAAUAAAUCAAUAAAUUAGUGAAUAAAUAAUAUUAUAUUUAAAUAGUAAUGUCAGAUUUAAAAAAUUAUAAAAUAUUACAAACUAUGAACAAAAUACUGGAUAGAAAAUAUAGUAAAAUAAAAAUAUAAAUUUGAACAUCCAUACAUGAAAAUAGUUUAGAUUAAAAUGAAGUAAUAAAAGAAGAGUUAAAUUCAUUCUAAUUUUAUUGUCUUAGUUGUCGUCAUUGAUGAUCAUUUUUU
This 281-nucleotide long non-coding RNA is filed under the name Ananas comosus (pineapple). RNAcentral's name for it is "long non-coding RNA (ACOM_LNC017863)". Lineage: Eukaryota; Viridiplantae; Streptophyta; Magnoliopsida; Poales; Bromeliaceae. The record is from RNAcentral.